RNAcentral lists this ribosomal RNA (157 nucleotides) under Davidsoniella virescens. RNAcentral's name for it is "5.8S ribosomal RNA". It matches the Rfam family "5.8S ribosomal RNA". Rfam says of the family: 5.8S ribosomal RNA (5.8S rRNA) is a component of the large subunit of the eukaryotic ribosome. Lineage: Eukaryota; Fungi; Ascomycota; Sordariomycetes; Microascales; Ceratocystidaceae. The record is from RNAcentral.
AAACUUUCAACAACGGAUCUCUUGGCUCUAGCAUCGAUGAAGAACGCAGCGAAAUGCGAUACGUAAUGUGAAUUGCAGAAUUCAGUGAAUCAUCGAAUCUUUGAACGCACAUUGCGCCUGGCAGUAUUCUGCCAGGCAUGCCUGUCCGAGCGUCAUU